This 301-nucleotide ribosomal RNA is filed under the name uncultured bacterium. Its description in RNAcentral is "partial 16S ribosomal RNA". It matches the Rfam family "Bacterial small subunit ribosomal RNA", at positions 509 to 809 of the family's 1533-position model. The record is from RNAcentral.
CAGCAGCCGCGGUAAUACCGAGGGUGCGAGCGUUAAUCGGAUUUACUGGGCGUAAAGCGUGCGUAGGCGGCUUUUUAAGUCGGAUGUGAAAUCCCUGAGCUUAACUUAGGAAUUGCAUUCGAUACUGGGAAGCUAGAGUAUGGGAGAGGAUGGUAGAAUUCCAGGUGUAGCGGUGAAAUGCGUAGAGAUCUGGAGGAAUACCGAUGGCGAAGGCAGCCAUCUGGCCUAAUACUGACGCUGAGGUACGAAAGCAUGGGGAGCAAACAGGAUUAGAUACCCCCGUAGUCCCUGUCUCUUAUAA